Molecule: long non-coding RNA, 683 nt
Organism: Xenia sp. Carnegie-2017
Lineage: Eukaryota; Metazoa; Cnidaria; Anthozoa; Malacalcyonacea; Xeniidae
Exons: 3
Source: RefSeq, a predicted model, not a curated record
AUAAAUUAGCAUCGUCGCUUAGCGCAACGAAGAGUACUCUUUAAAAUAUUUCAUUUAAAAUAUGCUUGAAUCCACGCAAAGCGAUGUAAACUUGUCAAAAAGAACACAUAUUUUCUCUGACUACGACGAAACGCAAGAAGAAAGUAAAUACGACAUGUCAGACUCAAAUAUUAAGAAGGUGGAAAAAAAUUCGUGUGAAAAAUUAUCAACUGACGAACAACCAUCAGGAAUUUUGGGAAAGUUAUCGGGUACUGUUUACAACACAACCAUGUUUGCUGCAGGAACUGCGUAUGGUGGUGUCACGUGGGUUGCCGGGGGUGUUCUGUCAACCACUGGCUCUGCUAUAGGAGCGACUUAUAACACUGUGACAUCAUUGUCACCAUUGACAAUAUUUAAGAAAGAAAGCAAAAGUAAAUCGGAAUAAGAUUUAUUAAUUUUCACGUUGUAAUUUUACUGUAUGAAGAACAGGUCAAUUUUCAGCUACUCUAUUACAUAUUUCAUAUUUGUCAAUUUUUCUUCAAUGGAUUUCUUUUAGGCUUUCUUAAUAGAAUUUUUUCCAUGAAUUUACGACGCUUGCAUACUAGUUUAUAUAUAAAUGUAAGAUUGGCGAUUUUGUUUAUAUAGAAAUGAUUAGGAGAAAAAAAUCUUUAUUCAAUUAAUUGAAUUAUUAUUCAGUUUUAACA